UGCGACCUCAGGUCAGGCGG
RNAcentral lists this ribosomal RNA (20 nucleotides) under Ormocarpum trichocarpum. RNAcentral's name for it is "partial large subunit ribosomal RNA". The record is from RNAcentral. Lineage: Eukaryota; Viridiplantae; Streptophyta; Magnoliopsida; Fabales; Fabaceae. RNAcentral also lists the same sequence under 2 other names.